RNAcentral lists this ribosomal RNA (2772 nucleotides) under Escherichia coli. Its description in RNAcentral is "bacterial LSU rRNA". It matches the Rfam family "Bacterial large subunit ribosomal RNA". Lineage: Bacteria; Pseudomonadati; Pseudomonadota; Gammaproteobacteria; Enterobacterales; Enterobacteriaceae. The record is from RNAcentral.
AGCGUACACGGUGGAUGCCCUGGCAGUCAGAGGCGAUGAAGGACGUGCUAAUCUGCGAUAAGCGUCGGUAAGGUGAUAUGAACCGUUAUAACCGGCGAUUUCCGAAUGGGGAAACCCAGUGUGUUUCGACACACUAUCAUUAACUGAAUCCAUAGGUUAAUGAGGCGAACCGGGGGAACUGAAACAUCUAAGUACCCCGAGGAAAAGAAAUCAACCGAGAUUCCCCCAGUAGCGGCGAGCGAACGGGGAGGAGCCCAGAGCCUGAAUCAGUGUGUGUGUUAGUGGAAGCGUCUGGAAAGGCGCGCGAUACAGGGUGACAGCCCCGUACACAAAAAUGCACAUGCUGUGAGCUCGAUGAGUAGGGCGGGACACGUGGUAUCCUGUCUGAAUAUGGGGGGACCAUCCUCCAAGGCUAAAUACUCCUGACUGACCGAUAGUGAACCAGUACCGUGAGGGAAAGGCGAAAAGAACCCCGGCGAGGGGAGUGAAAAAGAACCUGAAACCGUGUACGUACAAGCAGUGGGAGCACGCUUCGGCGUGUGACUGCGUACCUUUUGUAUAAUGGGUCAGCGACUUAUAUUCUGUAGCAAGGUUAACCGAAUAGGGGAGCCGAAGGGAAACCGAGUCUUAACUGGGCGUUAAGUUGCAGGGUAUAGACCCGAAACCCGGUGAUCUAGCCAUGGGCAGGUUGAAGGUUGGGUAACACUAACUGGAGGACCGAACCGACUAAUGUUGAAAAAUUAGCGGAUGACUUGUGGCUGGGGGUGAAAGGCCAAUCAAACCGGGAGAUAGCUGGUUCUCCCCGAAAGCUAUUUAGGUAGCGCCUCGUGAAUUCAUCUCCGGGGGUAGAGCACUGUUUCGGCAAGGGGGUCAUCCCGACUUACCAACCCGAUGCAAACUGCGAAUACCGGAGAAUGUUAUCACGGGAGACACACGGCGGGUGCUAACGUCCGUCGUGAAGAGGGAAACAACCCAGACCGCCAGCUAAGGUCCCAAAGUCAUGGUUAAGUGGGAAACGAUGUGGGAAGGCCCAGACAGCCAGGAUGUUGGCUUAGAAGCAGCCAUCAUUUAAAGAAAGCGUAAUAGCUCACUGGUCGAGUCGGCCUGCGCGGAAGAUGUAACGGGGCUAAACCAUGCACCGAAGCUGCGGCAGCGACACUAUGUGUUGUUGGGUAGGGGAGCGUUCUGUAAGCCUGUGAAGGUGUGCUGUGAGGCAUGCUGGAGGUAUCAGAAGUGCGAAUGCUGACAUAAGUAACGAUAAAGCGGGUGAAAAGCCCGCUCGCCGGAAGACCAAGGGUUCCUGUCCAACGUUAAUCGGGGCAGGGUGAGUCGACCCCUAAGGCGAGGCCGAAAGGCGUAGUCGAUGGGAAACAGGUUAAUAUUCCUGUACUUGGUGUUACUGCGAAGGGGGGACGGAGAAGGCUAUGUUGGCCGGGCGACGGUUGUCCCGGUUUAAGCGUGUAGGCUGGUUUUCCAGGCAAAUCCGGAAAAUCAAGGCUGAGGCGUGAUGACGAGGCACUACGGUGCUGAAGCAACAAAUGCCCUGCUUCCAGGAAAAGCCUCUAAGCAUCAGGUAACAUCAAAUCGUACCCCAAACCGACACAGGUGGUCAGGUAGAGAAUACCAAGGCGCUUGAGAGAACUCGGGUGAAGGAACUAGGCAAAAUGGUGCCGUAACUUCGGGAGAAGGCACGCUGAUAUGUAGGUGAAGUCCCUCGCGGAUGGAGCUGAAAUCAGUCGAAGAUACCAGCUGGCUGCAACUGUUUAUUAAAAACACAGCACUGUGCAAACACGAAAGUGGACGUAUACGGUGUGACGCCUGCCCGGUGCCGGAAGGUUAAUUGAUGGGGUCAGCGCAAGCGAAGCUCUUGAUCGAAGCCCCGGUAAACGGCGGCCGUAACUAUAACGGUCCUAAGGUAGCGAAAUUCCUUGUCGGGUAAGUUCCGACCUGCACGAAUGGCGUAAUGAUGGCCAGGCUGUCUCCACCCGAGACUCAGUGAAAUUGAACUCGCUGUGAAGAUGCAGUGUACCCGCGGCAAGACGGAAAGACCCCGUGAACCUUUACUAUAGCUUGACACUGAACAUUGAGCCUUGAUGUGUAGGAUAGGUGGGAGGCUUUGAAGUGUGGACGCCAGUCUGCAUGGAGCCGACCUUGAAAUACCACCCUUUAAUGUUUGAUGUUCUAACGUUGACCCGUAAUCCGGGUUGCGGACAGUGUCUGGUGGGUAGUUUGACUGGGGCGGUCUCCUCCUAAAGAGUAACGGAGGAGCACGAAGGUUGGCUAAUCCUGGUCGGACAUCAGGAGGUUAGUGCAAUGGCAUAAGCCAGCUUGACUGCGAGCGUGACGGCGCGAGCAGGUGCGAAAGCAGGUCAUAGUGAUCCGGUGGUUCUGAAUGGAAGGGCCAUCGCUCAACGGAUAAAAGGUACUCCGGGGAUAACAGGCUGAUACCGCCCAAGAGUUCAUAUCGACGGCGGUGUUUGGCACCUCGAUGUCGGCUCAUCACAUCCUGGGGCUGAAGUAGGUCCCAAGGGUAUGGCUGUUCGCCAUUUAAAGUGGUACGCGAGCUGGGUUUAGAACGUCGUGAGACAGUUCGGUCCCUAUCUGCCGUGGGCGCUGGAGAACUGAGGGGGGCUGCUCCUAGUACGAGAGGACCGGAGUGGACGCAUCACUGGUGUUCGGGUUGUCAUGCCAAUGGCACUGCCCGGUAGCUAAAUGCGGAAGAGAUAAGUGCUGAAAGCAUCUAAGCACGAAACUUGCCCCGAGAUGAGUUCU